This 453-nucleotide ribosomal RNA is filed under the name uncultured bacterium. Its description in RNAcentral is "bacterial SSU rRNA". It matches the Rfam family "Bacterial small subunit ribosomal RNA", at positions 917 to 1382 of the family's 1533-position model. The record is from RNAcentral.
GAGCCCGCACAAGCAGCGGAGCGUGUGGUUUAAUUCGAUGAUACACGAAGAACCUUACCUGGGUUUGACAUGUACGUAGUAGUGAACCGAAAGGGGAACGACUCUUCGGAGAGCGUACACAGGUGCUGCAUGGCUGUCGUCAGCUCGUGCCGUGAGGUGUCGGGUUAAGUCCCGCAACGAGCGCAACCCUUAUUGCCAGUUAAAGAUUUCUGGCGAGACUGCUGGCAUAUAACCAGAGGAAGGUGGGGAUGACGUCAAGUCAGCAUGGCCUUUAUAUCCAGGGCUACACACACGCUACAAUGGCCGGUACAAAGGGACGCCAAGCCGCGAGGUGGAGCCAAUCUCAGAAAGCCGGUCUCAGUUCAGAUUGCAGGCUGCAACCCGCCUGCAUGAAGUUGGAGUUGCUAGUAACCGCAGGUCAGCAAUACUGCGGUGAAUACGUUCCCGGGCUUU